Molecule: ribosomal RNA, 245 nt
Filed under: uncultured bacterium
Lineage: Bacteria
Description: partial 16S ribosomal RNA
Rfam family: Bacterial small subunit ribosomal RNA
Source: RNAcentral
UACGUAGGAGGCGAGCGUUGUCCGGAAUUACUGGGCGUAAAGAGCGCGUAGGUGGCGCUGCGCGACUUCGGUGAAAGCCCCCGGCUCAACUGGGGAGGGUCCGAGGUGACGGCAGUGCUGUGAGUGCAGGAGAGGGAAGUGGAACUCCGGGAGUAGCGGUGAAAUGCGUAGAGACCCGGAGGAACACCAGUGGCGAAGGCGGCUUCCUGGCCUGCGACUGACGCUGUGGCGCGAAAGCUAGGGGA